Molecule: ribosomal RNA, 516 nt
Filed under: uncultured cyanobacterium
Lineage: Bacteria; Bacillati; Cyanobacteriota
Description: bacterial SSU rRNA
Rfam family: Bacterial small subunit ribosomal RNA
Source: RNAcentral
CCGCAAUGGGCGAAAGCCUGACGGAGCAACGCCGCGUGAGGGAGGAAGGCCUUUGGGUGUAAACCUCUUUUGUUAGGGAAGAAGAAAGUGACGGUACCUAACGAAUAAGCAUCGGCUAACUCCGUGCCAGCAGCCGCGGUAAUACGGAGGAUGCAAGCGUUAUCCGGAAUUAUUGGGCGUAAAGCGUCCGCAGGUGGUUUCGCAAGUCCGCUGUCAAAGCGUGCAGCUUAACUGCAUAUCGGCAGUAGAAACUGCGAGACUAGAGUACGGUAGGGGUAGCGGGAAUUCCCAGUGUAGCGGUGAAAUGCGUAGAGAUUGGGAAGAACAUCGGUGGCGAAAGCGCGCUACUGGGCCUGUACUGACACUCAGGGACGAAAGCUAGGGGAGCGAAAGGGAUUAGAUACCCCUGUAGUCCUAGCCGUAAACGAUGGAAACUAGGCGUGGCUUGUAUCGACCCGAGCCGUGCCGAAGCUAACGCGUUAAGUUUCCCGCCUGGGGAGUACGCACGCAAGUGUG